Molecule: ribosomal RNA, 1319 nt
Filed under: Candidatus Bathyarchaeota archaeon
Lineage: Archaea; Thermoproteati; Candidatus Bathyarchaeota
Description: partial 23S ribosomal RNA
Rfam family: Archaeal large subunit ribosomal RNA
Source: RNAcentral
AGGCCUGACACGCUACGCCGUCUGGGGAAUGGCUAGGCUUGAGCGCCGAGGAAGGGCGCGGCAAGCGGCGAAACGCCUCGGGUAAGCGCAUGCAGCUGUAGAACCGAGGAUGCCCGAAUGAGACCUCUAGUUGCGAGUUCUUCGGAACUCGUGACGCUCCCACAUGGGAGUGGGAACCCCCUGAACGGAAACAUCUUAGUAGGGGGAGGAAAAGAAACCAAACGAGAUUCCCAAAGUAGCAGCGAGCGAACUGGGAAAAGUCCAAACCGAAUCCUGUAAGGAAACUUACCGGAGAUGUAGAGUUGUGGACCCAGCCUCCUCUUCGUCAGCAAAGCCGAAGUGGCCUGGAAUGGCCCGCGAAACAGGGUGAAAGCCUCGUAGGUGUAAACUGAAAAGAGUUGGGCUGGAGUUCCAGAGUAUCGUACCUUGGUUUUGGUGCAAGAAGCUAGGGGACAUCAACCUCUAAGACUAAAUACGUCUCAAGACCGAUAGCGCACUAGUACGGUGACGGAAAGUUGAAAAGUACCCCGGAAGGGGGGUGAAAAGUGUCUGAAACCAGACGGUAACAGACGUGUGCAGCCCGGAAGGGUAGACUCCUCCUGAAGGAACCCAUGGCAACAUGGCAUUACGAGGGAGGACGACUAGGGUUGCACGCUCCGUCUAGAAACACGGGCCGGGGAGUUCACGGCUGUGGCAAGCUUAAAGGUAAAAAGCCUGCAAGCAAAGGGAAACCAAAACGCGCACAGUCAGCUUUACGCUGGCGAGGCGCUGGGUCUGAAAGGGCCCGAAGUCACAGCUGCGAAACUAGAAACCGGGCGAUCUAACCCUGGGCAGGUCGAAGCCAGGCGAAAGCUUGGUGGAGGACCGAAGGGAUGCUGACGUGCAAUUCGCUCCUCAGACCUGGGGCUAGGGGCUAAAGACCAAUCUAGCCCGGUGAUAGCUAGUUCCCUCCGAAGUGGGUCGCAGCCCAGCCUUGAGCGAGACAGCUGAUGGGGUAGAGCACUGAUUGGAAAGUAAGGGGUCGAAAGAUCUCACUUUUCUUUCAAACUCCGAAUACAUUGGCGUCGUAGACCUCAAGAGACGGGCCAUAGGGGGUAAGCCCCUAUGCCGAGAGGGGAACAACCCAGACUGUGGUUAAGGCCCCAAAGUGCUGGCUAAACGUUAAACUGAAAGACGUCGUCAGCCUCAGACAGCGGGGAGGUAGGCUUAGAAGCAGCCAACCUUUAAAGAAAGCGUAACAGCUCACCCGCCGAGGCUGACGGCUCUGAAAAUGGACGGGACUAAGCCAGCCGCCGAAACCUCAGGGCACAACCGCACAG